RNAcentral lists this ribosomal RNA (253 nucleotides) under uncultured bacterium. RNAcentral's name for it is "partial 16S ribosomal RNA". It matches the Rfam family "Bacterial small subunit ribosomal RNA", at positions 524 to 776 of the family's 1533-position model. The record is from RNAcentral.
UACGAAGGGGGCGAGCGUUGUUCGGAUUUACUGGGCGUAAAGGGCGCGCAGGCGGUCUUGAAAGUCAGGCGUGAAAGCCCCGGGCUUAACCUGGGAAUUGCGCUUGAUACUCUGAGACUGGAGUACGGUAGAGGAAGGUGGAAUUCCCGGUGUAGCAGUGAAAUGCGUAGAUAUCGGGAGGAACACCAGUGGCGAAGGCGGCCUUCUGGACCAGUACUGACGCUCAUGCACGAAAGCGUGGGGAGCAAACAGG